This 2501-nucleotide long non-coding RNA is filed under the name Carica papaya (papaya). RNAcentral's name for it is "long non-coding RNA (CPAP_LNC003484)". The record is from RNAcentral. Lineage: Eukaryota; Viridiplantae; Streptophyta; Magnoliopsida; Brassicales; Caricaceae.
CCGGUGGUACUCUACUAAUUGGUGAAGGUAUUGAUUUUCUCUAAUCAGAUUUGCAUUCUCAUUUGCUAAUCUGGAUUUCUCAGCAAGCAAUGCCUCCAACUGAAGCCUCACCUGUCCAAAACCAAUAAUACCCAGAACAGUUAUUGAGCCUUUUUGCUUUUCGAUACAAAAGAAUAUUUGAUUUGGGGGGGAAAGAUAUUUUAAGUACCAGAUCAUCUUCUUCUGGUCUAAUUCCUUUACCAAAUCCAUCUCGAAGCCUCCUGUUCUCUUCCUCAAGCAAACUACACCUUUCCUGCAUAAAGCAUAAAUCUGACUUUUUCGACUUCAGUUCCCUUGCAAGUGAAGCUGCCUUUGUGGCCAUGGAAAUUGCAAUCUGUAGAAGACAGUUAAAACAACAGGGAGAAAUUAGUAUAAACUUGAUGGGUUUAUCAUGGUCAAGAAACAGAAUAAGCAUAGAGAGAAACCAACAUUUUUGGCUCUCUUCAUCAUUUUCUUCUCUUUUGGGCUUUCCUCUUUUUGUGUAUGCGAAUCAUCUACUUGACAAUCUGAACAAUCUUCUGGGUCAUACUUCCUCUUCAAACUCUUCUGUGACUCUUGUUUUUCUUCUUGGCUUUGCUUCAAAUCUUCGUGUUUACCUUCCUCCUCUGAAUUCUUUAAAUUGCUUAGAAAUAUUUCAGUCAAUGUGGGUGGCUUCGCUAGAUUUCUAGCUCCCUGGUAAUAACAGAGCAAACAAUAAAGAGUUGAGUCCAAGAUCUCCUCAUUACCAGAAGCCUAAGUUUCUAGAAAGAUUCACCAAAUCUUAUAUUUGUAUCAUGUACUCUUGUGUUUUGGCAAGAUCUCCUUAGCAAUUUGUUUAAAUGAACUGUGCCAAGCAGAUUUCAGAUUUUACGUAAACUCGAAAUCACCUGAAGAGCAUUGUCCAGAUUGUUAGACAGCUGAGACAGAGUUUGUGAAAUUGAAUCAAAUCCUCUCAGCAAAAGCAUAGAAUCUUCCUUCAGCCGUUUACCCGUCCCCGAUUCUCCCACAUCCUUCACCAAAAAAACAAAAAAACAAAAACAACACAAAAUAAAAAAAUAACCGUCACUAACUUAAGGAAAAAAAAAAAAUUAGGGCAGAAAGUGACUGUAUGAAAGGGCAAAGUUGAGUAAGCAGUAUACCUGGGGCGGAAUUUGGCCGCUUACAUCCUUGUUACGAUCUUGAAGAAGGGUUUCGACCCGGCCAUUAAGAGCACUCCAAAAACGGCGAUCUGAAGCAGGACUGAACAGAGGAGAAGUAACCAUGAAGUUUGGAGAUCUCUGCAAUCAAAAGAAACCCUUUAAUUAAUAUUCGAUUACCAUUUUUUCUUUAAAAAAAAAAAAGCGAUUUGGGUCGUGGAUACCUUGUUAACAUGAACUGGAGAUGGUGUAUCGACUGAAGCCUCCAUGAGAGAGAAAGAGAGAGAGAAGUAACGGCUAGUUUAUGGGGGGAAGUCAUUAUGAUGUGAAUUUAAAUAGAGGCACCGAUUUCGCCAACGUUCUAAAAUCUAAUAAUAGUUGAAAGUUGAUUGGGCCCACAACUCUCAAGUUCAACGCGAUCAAGUGGACACCUGACGAAUCUAACGGCCGAUGAUUAUUGAUUGAAGGCGUGAUUGGAGCCCACUGUUGAUCCCGGAACGGGAACAAAAAGCUUCUGUACUUUGUUUAUACUUAAAAUUUACUUGUUAUUUCUUAUUUUUUUUGGAAUUUUCUUUUAUUUAUUUUUUUUUAAUUUCCCCCCCCCUCUCUUGGGUCCUCCUUCCUGAUGAGAUGGUUCCUCACUUUCUGAGCAGGCACAAGAACAUUCUUCAUAGUUCAUCUUUUGAUAUUCUCUUCGAAGCUAAGUUGGAAAUAUCAUCAGCUUGACUUUUAUGCUGCGAUUCAGUUCCCCCCCUAAUGUUUUCUUCCUGCAGUGAUUGUUCUCUUUCCCUGAUUGGUAAGUCCUCUCACUAGAACGGUUGGUUUUUACUCCAGUAAAGAAAGAACCAGGGCACUAUGAUCAUCACAAACAUAGUUAGAAGAUUUAGAAAGAAAUGUGUUGUUUGUUAUUUUUCGGGUUUAUUAUGGAUUGGCAGUGAGUAUCGUAUAAUAAUUGAUUUAACAAUGUCAAUGGCUCAACUUGUUAGUGCUAUUGACGGAGUUAUAAUGAUUAAGUUGAGUUUAUUCUUCAUAAAUCAUGACGUAUUAAAUUUUUCAUGGCAGUUAAAUUUUUCACGAUGAAUAAACAUUGAAAUUAGUUAUAGAACUUGGAAUUGUGUAAGAAUCAAAUUUUACUAUUACAACCAUGUGUGGUAGAAAAGACAUAUACAAUUACAUUGAAAGUGUUACGAAAUUCCUCUGCAUCUAACCUUAUCGAUCUUCUAUUUCUUAUCUUUCUUGAAGCUCUAAUCAACACAAGUCAAAAAAUCGUUGCCUAAUGGUGUUUGGGAAAAAGCUUCAGUAUUAAUUGUUCAUAGGAAGCAAUACAUCUUGGGAAGUUACUCGAUG